GAUGAACGCUGGCGGCGUGCCUAAUACAUGCAAGUCGAGCGAACGGACGAGAAGCUUGCUUCUCUGAUGUUAGCGGCGGACGGGUGAGUAACACGUGGAUAACCUACCUAUAAGACUGGGAUAACUUCGGGAAACCGGAGCUAAUACCGGAUAAUAUUUUGAACCGCAUGGUUCAAAAGUGAAAGACGGUCUUGCUGUCACUUAUAGAUGGAUCCGCGCUGCAUUAGCUAGUUGGUAAGGUAACGGCUUACCAAGGCAACGAUGCAUAGCCGACCUGAGAGGGUGACGGGCCACACGGGAACUGAAACAGGGCACAGACCCAUAGGGGAGGCAGGAGUAGGGAAUCUUCCGAAAGGGGGGAAAGCCUGACGGAGCAACGCCGGGGGGGGGAGGAAGGUCUUCGGAUCGUAAAACUCUUUUAUUAGGGAAAAAAAAAUGUGUAAGUAACUGGGCACAUCUGGACGGUACCUAAAAAAAAAGCCACGGAUAAAUACGG
RNAcentral lists this ribosomal RNA (496 nucleotides) under uncultured bacterium. Its description in RNAcentral is "partial 16S ribosomal RNA". It matches the Rfam family "Bacterial small subunit ribosomal RNA", at positions 28 to 506 of the family's 1533-position model. The record is from RNAcentral.